Non-coding RNA from Lophiotrema nucula, 146 nucleotides. The record is from the annotation of a GenBank genome assembly. Lineage: Eukaryota; Fungi; Ascomycota; Dothideomycetes; Pleosporales; Lophiotremataceae.
GGAUACGUAGUUUAGUGGUCAAAAUACGAGCACAUGUGGAAACGGUUCGGUACUCGCAACCCGGGUAUCGAUUACGAAGUACUGGUGCGGACUUUCGCAAGAGCGACUGUCUUAUCGAACCCCAGGUUCGACUCCUGGCGUAUCCC